Molecule: long non-coding RNA, 384 nt
Filed under: Medicago truncatula (barrel medic)
Lineage: Eukaryota; Viridiplantae; Streptophyta; Magnoliopsida; Fabales; Fabaceae
Description: lncRNA gene38368
Source: RNAcentral
UUAGUAAAGUAAAUAAGAUUAAAGUAUUCUGAUAUUCCAAGGUAUAAAUAACCAAACUGUGUAUGAUCCAAAGUUCCUUACAACUUAUUGCCAAGACAGGCUUAUUUAAAGACAACCUAAAUCUGACCAUCUAUGAAACACUCAGACAAACAUGAACAUCAAACACAACCAAUUAUGUUUUGGUGUCGUGUUCGUAUUGGUGCUACAUAGAUGAACAUGAUUAUAUAACUAUAACCAACUCCUCUUCCCACAAUAUUCAAUUAUUAUUUUCUCGUUUCUAUGAGUUAAGAGUCUUAUAUUUCUGUAUCCUAUUUCUUGAUCUUUCUAUUCUUCUUUGGACCCGGAACUUCUAACCUACCAACAGAACAACCACACUUUCCUCUA